Molecule: ribosomal RNA, 1345 nt
Filed under: uncultured bacterium
Lineage: Bacteria
Description: partial 16S ribosomal RNA
Rfam family: Bacterial small subunit ribosomal RNA
Source: RNAcentral
GACGAACGUUUGCGGCGUGCUUAACACAUGCAAGUCGAACGGAAAGGCCCUGCUUUUGUGGGGUGCUCGAGUGGCGAACGGGUGAGUAACACGUGAGUAACCUGCCCUUGACUUUGGGAUAACUUCAGGAAACUGGGGCUAAUACCGGAUAGGAGCUCCUGCUGCAUGGUGGGGGUUGGAAAGUUUCGGCGGUUGGGGAUGGACUCGCGGCUUAUCAGCUUGUUGGUGGGGUAGUGGCUUACCAAGGCUUUGACGGGUAGCCGGCCUGAGAGGGUGACCGGCCACAUUGGGACUGAGAUACGGCCCAGACUCCUACGGGAGGCAGCAGUGGGGAAUAUUGCACAAUGGGCGGAAGCCUGAUGCAACAACGCCGCGUGCGGGAUGACGGCCUUCGGGUUGUAAACCGCUUUCGCCUGUGACGAAGCGUGAGUGACGGUAAUGGGUAAAGAAGCACCGGCUAACUACGUGCCAGCAGCCGCGGUGAUACGUAGGGUGCGAGCGUUGUCCGGAUUUAUUGGGCGUAAAGGGCUCGUAGGUGGUUGAUCGCGUCGGAAGUGUAAUCUUGGGGCUUAACCCUGAGCGUGCUUUCGAUACGGGUUGACUUGAGGAAGGUAGGGGAGAAUGGAAUUCCUGGUGGAGCGGUGGAAUGCGCAGAUAUCAGGAGGAACACCAGUGGCGAAGGCGGUUCUCUGGGCCUUUCCUGACGCUGAGGAGCGAAAGCGUGGGGAGCGAACAGGCUUAGAUACCCUGGUAGUCCACGCUGUAAACGGUGGGUACUAGGUGUGGGGUCCAUUCCACGGGUUCCGUGCCGUAGCUAACGCUUUAAGUACCCCGCCUGGGGAGUACGGCCGCAAGGCUAAAACUCAAAGGAAUUGACGGGGCCCCGCACAAGCGGCGGAGCAUGCGGAUUAAUUCGAUGCAACGCGUAGAACCUUACCUGGGUUUGACAUGGAUCGGGAGUGCUCAGAGAUGGGUGUGCCUCUUUUGGGGUCGGUUCACAGGUGGUGCAUGCCUGUCGUCAGCUCGUGUCGUGAGAUGUUGGGUUAAGUCCCGCAACGAGCGCAACCCUUGUUCACUGUUGCCAGCACGUUAUGGUGGGGACUCAGUGGAGACCGCCGGGGUCAACUCGGAGGAAGGUGGGGAUGACGUCAAGUCAUCAUGCCCCUUAUGUCCUGGGCUUCACGCAUGCUACAAUGGCCGGUACAGAGAGUGGCGAGCCUGUGAGGGUGAGCGAAUCUCGGAAAGCCGGUCUCAGUUCGGAUUGGGGUCUGCAACUCGACCUCAUGAAGUCGGAGUCGCUAGUAAUCGCAAAUUAUCAACGCUGCGGUGAAUCGUUCCCCGGGCU